GGCAUUUUAGGAUAAGUAAUUUAAGUCUACGAGGUUCAUAUUUUCGGGGUUUUAGUGUUU
RNAcentral lists this transfer RNA (60 nucleotides) under Dipetalonema gracile. Its description in RNAcentral is "tRNA-Met". Lineage: Eukaryota; Metazoa; Nematoda; Chromadorea; Rhabditida; Onchocercidae. The record is from RNAcentral.